RNAcentral lists this ribosomal RNA (560 nucleotides) under Brevibacterium sp. Its description in RNAcentral is "bacterial SSU rRNA". It matches the Rfam family "Bacterial small subunit ribosomal RNA", at positions 805 to 1362 of the family's 1533-position model. Lineage: Bacteria; Bacillati; Actinomycetota; Actinomycetes; Micrococcales; Brevibacteriaceae. The record is from RNAcentral.
AACGUUGGGCACUAGGUGUGGGGGACAUUCCACGUUCUCCGCGCCGUAGCUAACGCAUUAAGUGCCCCGCCUGGGGAGUACGGUCGCAAGGCUAAAACUCAAAGGAAUUGACGGGGGCCCGCACAAGCGGCGGAGCAUGCGGAUUAAUUCGAUGCAACGCGAAGAACCUUACCAAGGCUUGACAUACACUGGACCGUUCUGGAAACAGUUCUUCUCUUUGGAGCUGGUGUACAGGUGGUGCAUGGUUGUCGUCAGCUCGUGUCGUGAGAUGUUGGGUUAAGUCCCGCAACGAGCGCAACCCUCGUUCUAUGUUGCCAGCACGUGAUGGUGGGAACUCAUAGGAGACUGCCGGGGUCAACUCGGAGGAAGGUGGGGAUGACGUCAAAUCAUCAUGCCCUUUAUGUCUUGGGCUUCACGCAUGCUACAAUGGCUGGUACAGAGAGAGGCGAACCCGUGAGGGUAAGCGAAUCCCUUAAAGCCAGUCUCAGUUCGGAUCGUAGUCUGCAAUUCGACUACGUGAAGUCGGAGUCGCUAGUAGUCGCAGAUCAGCAACGCUGCGG